Molecule: ribosomal RNA, 936 nt
Filed under: Thiobacillus thioparus
Lineage: Bacteria; Pseudomonadati; Pseudomonadota; Betaproteobacteria; Nitrosomonadales; Thiobacillaceae
Description: bacterial SSU rRNA
Rfam family: Bacterial small subunit ribosomal RNA
Source: RNAcentral
ACGGCAGCACGGGAGCUUGCUCCUGGUGGCGAGUGGCGAACGGGUGAGUAAUGCGUCGGAACGUACCGAGUAAUGGGGGAUAACGCAGCGAAAGCUGUGCUAAUACCGCAUACGCCCUGAGGGGGAAAGUGGGGGAUCGCAAGACCUCACGUUAUUCGAGCGGCCGACGUCUGAUUAGCUAGUUGGUGGGGUAAUGGCCUACCAAGGCGACGAUCAGUAGCGGGUCUGAGAGGAUGAUCCGCCACACUGGAACUGAGACACGGUCCAGACUCCUACGGGAGGCAGCAGUGGGGAAUUUUGGACAAUGGGGGCAACCCUGAUCCAGCCAUUCCGCGUGAGUGAAGAAGGCCUUCGGGUUGUAAAGCUCUUUCAGCUGGAACGAAACGGUACGCUCUAACAUAGCGUGCUAAUGACGGUACCGGCAGAAGAAGCACCGGCUAACUACGUGCCAGCAGCCGCGGUAAUACGUAGGGUGCGAGCGUUAAUCGGAAUUACUGGGCGUAAAGCGUGCGCAGGCGGAUUGUUAAGCAAGAUGUGAAAUCCCCGGGCUUAACCUGGGAAUGGCAUUUUGAACUGGCAGUCUAGAGUGCGUCAGAGGGGGGUGGAAUUCCACGUGUAGCAGUGAAAUGCGUAGAGAUGUGGAGGAACACCAAUGGCGAAGGCAGCCCCCUGGGAUGACACUGACGCUCAUGUACGAAAGCGUGGGUAGCAAACAGGAUUAGAUACCCUGGUAGUCCACGCCCUAAACGAUGUCAACUGGUUGUUGGGGGAGUGAAAUCCCUUAGUAACGAAGCUAACGCGUGAAGUUGACCGCCUGGGGAGUACGGUCGCAAGAUUAAAACUCAAAGGAAUUGACGGGGACCCGCACAAGCGGUGGAUGAUGUGGAUUAAUUCGAUGCAACGCGAAAAACCUUACCUACCCUUGACAUGUCCGGA